Molecule: ribosomal RNA, 165 nt
Filed under: uncultured bacterium
Lineage: Bacteria
Description: partial 16S rRNA
Rfam family: Bacterial small subunit ribosomal RNA
Source: RNAcentral
GUAGGGAAUCUUCCACAAUGGGCGAAAGCCUGAUGGAGCAACGCCGCGUGUGUGAUGAAGGGUUUCGGCUCGUAAAACACUGUUGUAAGAGAAGAAUGACAUUGAGAGUAACUGUUCAAUGUGUGACGGUAUCUUACCAGAAAGGAACGGCUAAAUACGUGCCUG